CGUAAUGAAAGUGAAGGGCGGUUCGGCCGUCUGCCUUGGGAUCCCGUGAACCUCGCGUUCGCGGGCGCACCAAGGGCCCGUCCCGGUCGCCUCGUCGACGGGGCGGAGCAAGAGCGUACACGUUGGGACCCGAAAGAUGGUGAACUAUGCCUGGGCAGGACGAAGCCAGAGGAAACUCUGGUGGAGGUCCGCAGCGAUUCUGACGUGCAAAUCGAUCGUCAGACCUGGGUAGGGGCGAAAGACUAAUCGAACCAUCUAGUAGCUGGUUCCCUCCGAAGUUUCCCUCAGGAUAGCUGGCGCUCGGAGGAUGCAGUCUCAUCCGGUAAAGCGAAUGAUUAGAGGCCUUGGGGUCGAAAAGACCUCAACCUAUUCUCAAACUUUAAAUGGGUGAGAAGUCCGGUUUGCUCGACUGAAGCCCGGACGGCAACUUGGAUGCGAGUGCCAAGUGGGCCACUUUUGGUAAGCAGAACUGGCGCUGUGGGAUGAACCAAACGCCGGGUUAAGGGGCCCGAUGCGAGACGCUCAUGAGAUCCCAUGAAAGGUGUUGGUUGCUAUAGACAGCAGGACGGUGGCCAUGGAAGUCGGAAUCCGCUAAGGAGUGUGUAACAACUCACCUGCCGAAGCAACUAGCCCUGAAAAUGGAUGGCGCUUCAGCGUCGACCCCAUACCCGGCCGCCGCGGCCGAAAAGCCUCGUGUUUUAAGCCGCGGUGAGUAGGAGGGGCGCGGAGGCGAGCGUCGAAGGUGCCGGGCGUAAGCCCGCCUGGAGCCGCCUCCGGCGCAGAUCUUGGUGGUAGUAGCAAAUACUCAAGUGAGAACCUUGAGGACUGAGGUGGAGAAGGGUUCCAUGUGAACAGCAGUUGAACAUGGGUCAGUCGGUCCUAAGGGAUAGGAGAAAUCCGUUCCGAGGCGGGACCUCUAUCAAUUAUUGAAAGUCCCGCUGAUGACCGAAAGGGAAUCGGGUUAAUAUUCCCGAACCCGGACGCGGAGAUCGUCCUCUUCGGAGGUACAUUGCGGUAACGCAAACGAGCUCGGAGACGUCGACGGGAGCACCGGGAAGAGUUAUCUUUUCUUUGUAAGGAUUCGACUCCCUGGAAUCGGCUCGCCCGGAGAUAGGGAUGGUGUUUCCGUAAAGCACCGCGCCUCUUGCGGUGUCCGGAUCGCUCCCGUCGGCCCUUGAAAAUCCGAGUGAGAGAUAGUGAUUUUCGUGCCGGACCGUACCCAUAUCCGCAGC
RNAcentral lists this ribosomal RNA (1232 nucleotides) under Pantopsalis sp. MCZ IZ 133330. Its description in RNAcentral is "partial large subunit ribosomal RNA". It matches the Rfam family "Eukaryotic large subunit ribosomal RNA", at positions 715 to 1860 of the family's 3401-position model. The record is from RNAcentral. Lineage: Eukaryota; Metazoa; Arthropoda; Arachnida; Opiliones; Neopilionidae.